RNAcentral lists this small nuclear RNA (66 nucleotides) under Chloropicon mariensis. RNAcentral's name for it is "partial Dictyostelium signal recognition particle". The record is from RNAcentral. Lineage: Eukaryota; Viridiplantae; Chlorophyta; Chloropicophyceae; Chloropicales; Chloropicaceae.
UAGGCUGGCAAUGGAGGAGGGGGGACAAGCGCGUCGCUGGGUUCUGGACAAGGACGACGUGAAAAG